This 95-nucleotide transfer RNA is filed under the name Myxococcales bacterium LLY-WYZ-16_1. Its description in RNAcentral is "tRNA-OTHER". The record is from RNAcentral. Lineage: Bacteria; Pseudomonadati; Myxococcota; Myxococcia; Myxococcales.
GUAAGUGGCUGAGAACACACGAAUCCCGAGUGAUUCCGAUGCCCGUAUCACUCUUCACACGGUGGAAGUCGCUGGUUCGAAUCCAGCUGUGCCCA